AACUAACGCUGGCGGCGUGCCUAACACAUGCAAGUCGUACGAGAAAGCCGGCUUCGGCUGGUGAGUAAAGUGGCGCACGGGUGAGUAACGCGUGGAUAAUCUGCCCUUAAGUGUGGAAUAACGUACCGAAAGGUGCGCUAAUACCGCAUAAUGCCUGGCAACACAAGUUGUCCGGCCAAAAGAAGGCCUCUGUUUACAAGCUUUCGCUUCAGGAUGAGUCCGCGUACCAUUAGCUUGUUGGUGGGGUAAUGGCCUACCAAGGCUGCGAUGGUUAGCUGGUCUGAGAGGAUGAUCAGCCACACUGGAACUGAGACACGGUCCAGACUCCUACGGGAGGCAGCAGUGAGGAAUAUUGCGCAAUGGGGGCAACCCUGACGCAGCAACGCCGCGUGAGUGAGGAAGGUUUUCGGACUGUAAAGCUCUGUCGAGCGGGAAGAAGUGUACCAUGGCUAAUAUCCAUGAUAUUUGACGGUACCGCUAGAGG
Molecule: ribosomal RNA, 484 nt
Filed under: uncultured bacterium
Lineage: Bacteria
Description: bacterial SSU rRNA
Rfam family: Bacterial small subunit ribosomal RNA
Source: RNAcentral